GUCGCAGUUCGCAGUAAAUAAAAAGUUUGACUUACUAUACUUUCUGAGAUUUCAGACUUUGACUGUUGAGAGCUUUCAGACAAGCAGCGCUAUGGAAGCCAGCAGCAAGCAGCAGAAAAAGUCGGAAAAUUCAUCAUUGUCUUCUUCUUCAAAGCUCCUGCUCUACUCCUACUGGCAGAGCUCCUGCUCUUGGUUCGUCCGCUUCGCUCUAAGUCUUAAAGGACUUCCAUACGAGUACAAACCAGUGAACAUCACAAAAGGAGAGCAGUUCAGUCCAG
Prunus mume (Japanese apricot) is the source of this 278-nucleotide non-coding RNA. Lineage: Eukaryota; Viridiplantae; Streptophyta; Magnoliopsida; Rosales; Rosaceae. The record is from RefSeq and is a predicted model, not a curated record.